AGAGUUUGAUCCUGGCUCAGGAUGAACGCUGGCGGCGUGCUUAACACAUGCAAGUCGAACGGAGUUUUUAAACGGAAGUUUUCGGAUGGAAGUUUAGAAACUUAGUGGCGGACGGGUGAGUAACGCGUGGGUAACCUGCCUCAUACAGGGGGAUAACAGUUAGAAAUGACUGCUAACACCGCAUGAUAUAGCGAAACCGCAUGAUUUUGCUAUCAAAUAUUUAUAGGUAUGAGAUGGGCCCGCGUCUGAUUAGCUAGUUGGUGGGGUAAAAGCCUACCAAGGCGACGAUCAGUAGCCGGCUUGAGAGAGUGACCGGCCACAUUGGGACUGAGACACGGCCCAAACUCCUACGGGAGGCAGCAGUGGGGAAUAUUGGACAAUGGGGGAAACCCUGAUCCAGCGACGCCGCGUGAGUGAAGAAGUAUUUCGGUAUGUAAAGCUCUAUCAGCAGGGAAGAUAAUGACAGUACCUGACUAAGAAGCCCCGGCUAACUACGUGCCAGCAGCCGCGGUAAUACGUAGGGGGCAAGCGUUAUCCGGAUUACUGGGUGUAAAGGGAGCGUAGGUGGCUAGGUAAGUCAGAUGUGAAAGCCCGGGGCUCAACCCCGGGAUUGCAUUUGAAACUAUUUAGCUAGAGUGCAGGAGAGGUAAGUGGAAUUCCUAGUGUAGCGGUGAAAUGCGUAGAUAUUAGGAGGAACACCAGUGGCGAAGGCGGCUUACUGGACUGUAACUGACACUGAGGCUCGAAAGCGUGGGGAGCAAACAGGAUUAGAUACCCUGGUAGUCCACGCCGUAA
Molecule: ribosomal RNA, 795 nt
Filed under: uncultured bacterium
Lineage: Bacteria
Description: bacterial SSU rRNA
Rfam family: Bacterial small subunit ribosomal RNA
Source: RNAcentral